GCUAGACAUAGCAGUAAUGCAGUUAACACAUUAAAUGUACCGCCUGGGGAGUACGGUCGCAAGAUUAAAACUCAAAGGAAUAGACGGGGACCCGCACAAGCGGUGGAGCAUGUGGUUUAAUUCGACGAUACGCGAAGAACCUUACCUGGCCUUGACAUAGAAAGAAUUUAGCAGAGAUGUAAAAGUGCUAGUUUACUAGAGCUUUCAUACAGGUGCUGCACGGCUGUCGUCAGCUCGUGUCGUGAGAUGUUAGGUUAAGUCCUGCAACGAGCGCAACCCUCGUGUUUAGUUACUAACAGAUUAUGCUGAGGACUCUAGACAUACUGCCUGGGCAACCAGGAGGAAGGUGAGGACGACGUCAAGUCAUCAUGGCCCUUACGGCCAGGGCUACACACGUGCUACAAUGGGGUAUACAAAGAGCAGCGAUACCGCGAGGUGGAGCAAAUCUCAUAAAAUAUCUCCCAGUUCGGAUUACACUCUGCAACUNGAGUGUAUGAAGUUGGAAUCGCUAGUAAUCGUAGAUCAGCAAUGCUACGGUGAAUACGUUCCCGGGUCUUGUACUCACCGCCCG
RNAcentral lists this ribosomal RNA (571 nucleotides) under uncultured Campylobacterota bacterium. RNAcentral's name for it is "bacterial SSU rRNA". It matches the Rfam family "Bacterial small subunit ribosomal RNA", at positions 830 to 1396 of the family's 1533-position model. Lineage: Bacteria; Pseudomonadati; Campylobacterota. The record is from RNAcentral.